Long non-coding RNA from Pipra filicauda (Wire-tailed manakin), 726 nucleotides. RefSeq lists it as uncharacterized. The transcript has 3 exons. Lineage: Eukaryota; Metazoa; Chordata; Aves; Passeriformes; Pipridae. The record is from RefSeq and is a predicted model, not a curated record.
UCAGCAAAACCUUCUCAAAUACUGAAUAUUGCAGACUCCUCUGAGCUCAAUGUCUGAGCCUCCCCUGGUUCCAUGGACCCUCACUCACCCUGUCCAGAUCUGUGCAGAAGUAAAGGGCAGGAUGCAGGAUCUCUUUAAUGGAGAAUAAAAUAGGUGUCAUCUGCCACGGAACCAAAGGUAACAGGCUUGUCUGUGUCUUGUUGUGUGAACACUUGUGGGAUGAGAGCUGGGAACAAGAUCAGGAGGCAUGAGUUAGCAGUUUCCACAUCCCAGAAAAGAUACAACAUUAGCAAUCAUCAAGGACAGCAAGAAAGUGAUUCAGAAAAAGCUUGCAGCCAGAGGAGACAAAGGAGACUUUUGCAGGCUUUUGACUUGCAUGAUACCUCUGAUGAGCAAUCGGGCCCCUCCCUCCCUCCAGAGCUGAAGGUGUGAAGCCCUGAAAAGGCAAGAAGCCGAGCUCGCAAGCUUUUGACUGUUGAUACAUCGGCUGAGCAAUCAGGCCCCUCCCUCCCUCUGCUAAUCUUGAAAGGCGGGAACCAGGGGAGACACAAAAAAACUCAGCACAGACCCAGGAGAUGUUGGAGGCUUGAGGCACGGCCCGUGACACUAACCAUGGAUAUAAUAACCCAUAACUUCUUGGAGUAUGGGGGUUUCCCUCCUUCACCCCCAGCAGAUCAAGGUCACCACUUCAACUGACAGACAUGGAAGCAUCGCUGGACCCCGUGG